UUCCAGACUCCUACGGGAGGCAGCAGUGAGGAAUAUUGGUCAAUGGGCGCGAGCCUGAACCAGCCAAGUCGCGUGAGGGAAGACUGCCCUAUGGGUUGUAAACCUCUUUUGUCAGGGAGCAAUUGGCGCUACGUGUAGCGUUAUCGAGAGUACCUGAAGAAAAAGCAUCGGCUAACUCCGUGCCAGCAGCCGCGGUAAUACGGAGGAUGCGAGCGUUAUCCGGAUUUAUUGGGUUUAAAGGGUGCGUAGGCGGAAUGCCAAGUCAGCGGUAAAAUCGCGGGGCUCAACCUCGCUCCGCCGUUGAAACUGGCGUUCUUGAGUGGGCGAGAAGUAUGCGGAAUGCGUGGUGUAGCGGUGAAAUGCAUAGAUAUCACGCAGAACUCCGAUUGCGAAGGCAGCAUACCGGCGCCCAACUGACGCUGAAGCACGAAAGCGUGGGUAUCGAACAGGAUUAGAUACCCGAGUACG
Molecule: ribosomal RNA, 468 nt
Filed under: uncultured bacterium
Lineage: Bacteria
Description: bacterial SSU rRNA
Rfam family: Bacterial small subunit ribosomal RNA
Source: RNAcentral